This 422-nucleotide ribosomal RNA is filed under the name uncultured bacterium. Its description in RNAcentral is "partial 16S ribosomal RNA". It matches the Rfam family "Bacterial small subunit ribosomal RNA", at positions 360 to 774 of the family's 1533-position model. The record is from RNAcentral.
AAUCUUCCACAAUGGACGAAAGCCUGAUGGAGCAACGCCGCGUGAGUGAAGAAGGUUCUCGUAUCGUAAAGCUCUGUUGUAAGGGAAGAACAAGUACAGGAGUAACUGUCUGUACCUUGACGGUACCUUACCAGAAAGCCACGGCUAACUACGUGCCAGCAGCCGCGGUAAUACAGCGGGUGCAAGCGUUAAUCGGAAUUAAUGGGCGUAAAGCGCGCGCAGGCGGUCUUUUAAAUCUGAUAGGAAAUCUUACAGCUUAACUGGAAGCCGUCAUUGGAAACUGGGAGACUUGAGUGCAGAAGAGGAGAGUGGAAUUCCAUGUGUAGCGGUGAAAUGCGUAGAGAUAUGGAGGAACGCCAGUGGCGAAGGCGACUCUCUGGUCUGUAACUGACGCUGAGGCGCGAAAGCGUAGGGAUCAAACA